Molecule: ribosomal RNA, 328 nt
Filed under: uncultured bacterium
Lineage: Bacteria
Description: bacterial SSU rRNA
Rfam family: Bacterial small subunit ribosomal RNA
Source: RNAcentral
CGUGUAGGUGGAACUUUAAGUCGGUGGUGAAAGCCUGCAGCUUAACUGCAGAAUUGCCCUCGAUACUGAAGUUCUUGAGUGCGGCAGAGGGAGAUGGAAUUCAUGGUGUAGCGGUGAAAUGUGUAGAUAUCAUGAAGAACACCGGUAGCGAAGGCGGUCUCCUGGUCCGUAACUGACACUGAGGCGCGAAAGCGUGGGGAGCAAACAGGAUUAGAUACCCUGGUAGUCCACGCCUUAAACGAUGGGUACUCGGUGCUGGGCCGCAAGGUUCAGUGCCAAAGCUAACGCAUUAAGUACCCCACCUGGGGAGUACGAUCGCAAGGUUGAA